GAGGCCCUACGGGACGCAGCAGUAGGGAAUCUUCCACAAUGGGCGAAAGCCUGAUGGAGCAACGCCGCGUGGGUGAAGAAGGUCUUCGGAUCGUAAAAACCUGUUGUUAGAGAAGAAAGUGCGUGAGAGUAACUGUUCACGUUUCGACGGUAUCUAACCAGAAAGCCACGGCUAACUACGUGCCAGCAGCCGCGGUAAUACGUAGGUGGCAAGCGUUAUCCGGAUUUAUUGGGCGUAAAGGGAACGCAGGCGGUCUUUUAAGUCUGAUGUGAACGCCUUCGGCUUAACCGGAGUAGUGCAUUGGG
This 305-nucleotide ribosomal RNA is filed under the name uncultured bacterium. RNAcentral describes it as "bacterial SSU rRNA". It matches the Rfam family "Bacterial small subunit ribosomal RNA", at positions 333 to 630 of the family's 1533-position model. The record is from RNAcentral.